This 3309-nucleotide ribosomal RNA is filed under the name Capsicum annuum var. glabriusculum (American bird pepper). Its description in RNAcentral is "eukaryotic LSU rRNA". It matches the Rfam family "Eukaryotic large subunit ribosomal RNA". Lineage: Eukaryota; Viridiplantae; Streptophyta; Magnoliopsida; Solanales; Solanaceae. The record is from RNAcentral.
ACCCAAGGUCAUGCGGGAUUACCUGCUGAGUUUAAGAAUAUCAAUAAGAGGAGGAAAAGAAACUUUCAAGGAUUCUCUUAGUAACAGUGAGCGAACCAGGAACAUCCCAACCUUAGAAUUGGGUGGCUCCAUCAUCCUAAUUGUAGUCUGGAGAAGCGUUUUUAGUGGUUGAUCGGGCUCUAGCCCCAUUGAAAGGGGUGCCAUAGAGGGUGAGAGCCUCAUUGUACUCGGACCUUAUCGCACCACGAGGCACUAUCUACAAUUUAGGAUUUUUGGGAAUACAGCCUAAAUCAGGUGGUGUAUCCCGUCCAAGGCUAAAUACGGGUGAGAGACCGAUAGCAAACAAGUAUCGUGAGGGAAAGAUGAAAAGGACUUUGAAGAAAGAGUUAAAGAGUUCUUGAAAUUAUUGUUAGGGAAGCAAAUGGGGGCUGGCGAUGCACCCCGAUCGGAUAUCGAACGGCGAUGAGCCGGUCUGCCGAUCGACUCGGGACAUGGACCAGAGUGGAUUGAGGGAGCAUCCAAAACUCGGGCUCUCAAUACGCUCGUGGAAUGCCAUCUCCUCGAUUGUGGUAGGAAGUGCAUACCUCUGGCGUGCUUCGAUAUCUGCGUGCUUCGGAUGCUGGCUUGUGGGCUCCCCAUUUGACCCGUCUUAAAACAUGGACCAAGGAGUCUGACAUGUGUGUGAGUCAAUGGGCGAGUAAACCCAUAAGCCAUAAAAAGGUGAUUGGUGGGAUGCCCCUGUGGGGUGCACCAUCGACCGACCUUGAUCUUCUGUGAAGGGUUCAAGUGUAAGCAUUCCUGCCGGGACUUGAAAGAUGGUGAACUGUGCCUGAGCGGGCAAAGCCAUAGGUAGCUCUUAUGAAGGCCCGCAGUGAUACUAACAUGCAAAUCAUUCGGCUUAUUUGGGUAUAGGGGUGAAAGAUUAAUCGAACCGUCUAGUAGCUGGUUCCCUCCAAAGUUUUUUUUAGGAUAACUGGAGCUCGCGUUCGAGUUUUAUCAUAUAAAGCCAAUGAUUAGUGGCCACAAGGGCGCAAUGCCCUCGACCUAUUCUUAAACUUUAAAUAUGUAGGAUUGCAUGACUGCUUUGUUGAGACAUGCCAUGGAAUCAAGAGCUCAUACUGGGCCAUUUUUUAUUUGCAGAACCGGUUAUGCGGGAUGAACCAGAAGCCGAGUUACGGUUCCAAACUAUGCGCUAACCUAGAUCCCACUAAGGGUGUUGUUGAUUAAGACAGCAGGAUGGUGGUCAGAAGAUUCUAAAUCCACUAAUGAGUGUAUAACAACUCACCUGCCUAAUCAAUUAGCCCCAAAAAUAGAUGACGCUUAAGUGAAUGACCUACACCCAGCCAUCGGGGAAAGUUCCAGGCCCCGAUGAAUAGGAGGGCACGAUAGUCACUGUAAAAUCUUGGGCGUAAGCUUGACCAGAGAGUCCAUCGUUGUAGAUCUUAGUGGUAGUAGAAAAUAUUCAUAUGAGAGCUUUGAAUGCCAAAGAGGGGAAAGGAUCCAUGUGAACAAUAAUUGCACAUAGGUUAGUCGAUCCUAAGGGUCGGGGAAACCCCAAUAGAUAGCACGUUUCGCGUGUUCUCCCCAUGAGAAUUGGGUUAAAAUUCCUGAACAAGUAUGUGGUGGAUGAUGACAAUGUUAGGAAAUCCGGAGACGUCGGUGGGAACCUGAGAAAGAGUUAUCCUUUCUGUUUAAUAGCCUUCCUACCUUGGAAUCGGCUCAUCCAGAGCUAGGGUCCAGCGACUGGAAGAGUAUCGCACGUAUCAUGGUGUCUGGUGCGCUCCCAGUGGCCAUUAAAGAUUCGAAGGACCAAAUGUCAUCCAUGCGCGAUCGUACUCAUAACCGCAUCAGGUCUCCAAGGUGAACAACCUCUGGUCGAUGGAAUAAUAUAGGCAAGGAAAGUCGGCAAAAUGGAUCCGUAACUUUGGAAAAAGGAUUACCUCUGAGGGCUAGGUGCGGGUGUCCCAGUCUCGAACCUAUCAAAAAUUGGUAGACUGCUGGAGCUGCUCCUGCAACAAGAGUGGGUCGCCACGUGCAGGCCAUGGAACAAACUGGGAACGGUUCCUUUGGGGGCCUUCCACGUGCGUUGAACAGCUAACUCAGAAAUGGUAUAGAAAAGGAGAAUCCAACUAUUUAAUUAAAACAAAGCAUUGCGAUGGUCCCAGCGGAUGUUCACGCAAAGUGAGUUCUGCCAAUGCUCUAAAUAUCAAAGUAAAGAAAUUUAACCAAGCACGGGUAAACGGCGGGAGUAACUAUGACUCUCUUAAGGUAGCCAAAUGCCUCGUCAUCUAAUUUUUGACGCACAUGAAUGGAUUAAUGAGAUUCAAACUAUGCCUGUCUACUAUCCAGUGAAACCAUAGCCAAGGGAAUGGGCUUGGUUGAAUUAACGGGGAAAAAAGACCUUGUUGGGCUUAACUUUAGUCCGACUUUGUGAAAUGACUUGAGAGGUGUAGUAUAAGUGGGAGAUGAAAGGCGAAAGUGAAAUACCACUAUUUUUUAUGUUAUUUAACUUAUUCCAUGAAUCGAAAAUGGGGUACUGUCCCACUUUUAGGACCCAAGGCAUGCUCUGCGGGCUGAUCCGGGGAGAAAACAUAGUCAGGUGGGGAGUUUGGCUGGGGUGACACAUUUGUUAGAAGAUAACAUAGGUGUCCUAAGAUAAGAUCAACUAGAACAAAAAUCUUAUUUGGAAUAGAGGGGUAAAUCUCAUUUGAUUUUGAUUCCCAGUAUGAAUACGAACCGUGAAAGCGUCUCCUAAUGAUCCUUUAGACUUUUAAAAGUCGAAGCUAGAGGUGUCUGAAAAGUUACCACAGGGAUAACUAGAUUGUUUCUGCCAAGCGUUCAUAGCGACAUUCUUUUUUAUUCUUCGAUGUCGGCUCUUCGUAUCAUUAUGAAGCAGAAUUCACCAAGUAUUAGAUUGUUCACCCACCAAUAGGGAAUAUGAGUUGGGUUUAUACCAUCGUGAGAUAGGUUAGUUUUACCCUACUGAUGACAAUAUCAUAAUAGUAAUUCAACUUAGUAUGAGAGGAACCGCUGAUUCUAAUAAUUGGUUAUCGCACUUGGUUGAAAAGCCAGUGACAUGAAGCUAUCAUGUGUUGGAUUAUGAUUGAACGCCUCUAAGUCAUAAUUUGGGAUAGAAGCAUUGCAUACGCCCGUCGUCUGCUUGCUGACCCAUAGUAGUGGCCUCAUCCCCCAAGGGCACAUGUCGUUGGCUAAGCCAUCGCGGUGGAAUGGUCAAGGUGGCUGCCUUGAAGUACAUUUUCCAUCGAGCGGUGAGUAGAAUCCUUUGCAGAUGGCUUAAAUACGUGAUGG